GACGAACGCUGGCGGCGUGCCUAAUACAUGCAAGUAGAACGCUGAAGGAGGAGCUUGCUUCUCUGGAUGAGUUGCGAACGGGUGAGUAACGCGUAGGUAACCUGCCUAGUAGCGGGGGAUAACUAUUGGAAACGAUAGCUAAUACCGCAUAAUAGUAGAUGUUGCAUGACAUUUGCUUAAAAGGUGCAAUUGCAUCACUACCAGAUGGACCUGCGUUGUAUUAGCUAGUUGGUGGGGUAACGGCUCACCAAGGCGACGAUACAUAGCCGACCUGAGAGGGUGAUCGGCCACACUGGGACUGAGACACGGCCCAGACUCCUACGGGAGGCAGCAGUAGGGAAUCUUCGGCAAUGGACGGAAGUCUGACCGAGCAACGCCGCGUGAGUGAAGAAGGUUUUCGGAUCGUAAAGCUCUGUUGUAAGAGAAGAACGAGUGUGAGAGUGGAAAGUUCACACUGUGACGGUAUCUUACCAGAAAGGGACGGCUAACUACGUG
This 495-nucleotide ribosomal RNA is filed under the name uncultured bacterium. RNAcentral describes it as "partial 16S ribosomal RNA". It matches the Rfam family "Bacterial small subunit ribosomal RNA", at positions 28 to 507 of the family's 1533-position model. The record is from RNAcentral.